GUAUCCCACACCUUACAUAACUUGUGUCCGACGUCUUACAUACGUUUUGGUAACUUAAAUUGUGUGCGACGAGUAAAUCCACCGCACACGAUUCUAUUUUGCAAACUCUGUGCGAGUAGAGACAUAUAGAUCAGAACUCUCCCGUAUAAAAGAGAUAUAUCUUUUCCUAAUAAUAAAGCGAUUAAUGCUUCUGCCCGCCUGCUCACCGUCAUCGCGCUUUUGCUAAAAAAGACCCUGUGUUGUUUAGUAUUCAACCCGCAGUCCUCGAUCAGUAAAGAAAAAAACGUUUCGCGACGGACGGAAGAAAUAGAAGACCCACCUAUCCCAUCGUCUUCCUGCUCCGACUCCAGGCCACGAGCUGCUCCCCACCAAUGGCUCCGCCCCGCGCCUCCUCGCGGCUAUGCCGCCGGCGAUGUGCGCCGCCCCCGGCCGCGCGUCGCUUUCCUCUUCCCGGCAACGCGCCGCUCGCCUCGUCCCGCCCACAUGCCCCAGCGACUCCUCCCUGCUCCACUCCCGACGAGUCGCGCUGCCCCUGGUCACGUUGGGACAUGGGAUAGGUGGGGAGGGUUGGAGUUAAACUCCAUAUCCCUGGCCACGUUUUCUAAUCCGCAACAGCAGUGAACAACGAUUUCAAGAAGCGGGCGGCCGGGCGGACGGCUCGGCUGAGGCGGCAGCCGCGGCCGGACUCCUCUGCAGCCUUAGGGUGGCGGCAGCUCGCCGCCUUAAAUCCAGGAGGGGGCGACCUGGACCACGCGCACGUCCUCCAGGGGUACGUAAUCGUCCAAAUCUCGCGUUGUUUAUUUUGGGCUCGAUGCUUGCUGGUUUGAUUUGGGGUUGGCAUCCAUUCCAGGUGAGUUGGAAUAAGAUUUACAUGUGCAAUGACCUAGGAUUAUGCAGAUAAUGGAAUUUGAGUUGGUGCGGAACAUGCACUGUAAUGAAGGAUGCUAACUUAUUGUCCUGAGGAGAGCUGCUGCUACCAUUGACCGGAAUGAAGACAAAGGAUCAAUUUAGGUGGUGAAUGGAAGACUUAAUUCGAGCAACCUGUAUAGAGCCAAAGAACAACGACAGUAAGAAGCAGAUUUCCUGUUCGUUUACAUGGGGCACUUCCUCGCUAGCCUUGAACAAGAUUUCAUCUGUUUUGUCAGACCAAAAGCUGUAGAAAGAACUCCGGUAAUCUGUCAAAGCUUACUUGGCCUGAAACUAUUUAUUUUGUCUUUAUCUUCGCAGGAUGAAGGAUUUAGCUUCUUCUUUGCCUUUUUAUUUUUUCCCAUGUAUCAUGUUACUCGUCAAAGCGAAGCAAUCAAAAAACUCCAGCAACAUACACUGAAAUUGUCACUUUUAAAAAGGAACGGGCAGAACCUAUGGCGUGGCUUGAAAUAGGCAAGCACACGAGAAGAAUUGAUCACCGCUAUUAAAAUGGUCAAAUGGACUGGACUGACACGCUUACGCUGCAAAUGGUCUGUGGCUUGUAACAGGGCACGAAUCUUGGCGGGGCUCAACGCACGGGAUAACCGAGGGUCGGGACUCCCGGGUGCUACCACGCCUUUCCGUUUUCACAUAUAUUUCUCUAGCAAAGUGCAGCUGGGAGCGGUGUAUAGAAUGUUCAGUUUUGCAUGUUCUGAUGCCAGAUAGUGUUCAGCUUAAAGAGAUGGCUAUGAGGUGCGUGCAAGUACAAGCGUGAAAUGAGGGUCAAUUUGUUAUUCGCCAAAGUGAUAUGAAAACGAAGAUCCUGUAACUGAAGUUGCAUCCUCAGUCCUACAUAACACAUCCUUUUUCGCAGAAUAAAUGGUCACAACUUCUUCAUAUAUAUAGGCAGUGUUGCUGGAGGAAUGGCAAGAUGCCCAGUCAGAUGACCUAGGUCUGUGGCAAGUUGGUGGACCUCGACUACAGGAACAUCACCGAGGCAAUCACCGAGGCAAUCGAUAGUAGGUUGGUCAAUUGCUAACACAACAUGUUUUGAAUUGUAAAAUUAAGUUUGUUCUUUUGUUUAUUUUUUCUGAUUGAAAGUGCCAGUUGGUGUUGUUGUAUAAAAUAUUUUGAAUUACAAAAUUAAUUCUCCGGUUACACGCA
This is a long non-coding RNA of Aegilops tauschii subsp. strangulata, 2070 nucleotides long. RefSeq lists it as uncharacterized. The record is from RefSeq and is a predicted model, not a curated record. Lineage: Eukaryota; Viridiplantae; Streptophyta; Magnoliopsida; Poales; Poaceae.